Molecule: long non-coding RNA, 27671 nt
Filed under: Populus trichocarpa (black cottonwood)
Lineage: Eukaryota; Viridiplantae; Streptophyta; Magnoliopsida; Malpighiales; Salicaceae
Description: long non-coding RNA (PTRI_LNC003257)
Source: RNAcentral
AACGAACCUAUAACUUCUAGAGCCAGUGGAAGGCCAUUAGCAUAACCCACAACUUGCUUGGAUAGUUCCACGAAAUCUUCAGCAGGUUGGUCAUUUUUGAAAGCUUUUUGGCUAAACAACAUAAGAGCAUCAUCAUCAUUCAAUUUCUCAGCCUCAUAAAUUCUAGCAACACCAUUUCUAGUCAACACUUGUCUAUCUCUGCUUGUUAUGAUAAUUCUGCUCCCUGGACCAAACCAUUUACUCUCUGCAGCCAGGGAUUCUAGUUGUUUACGGUCAUCUACAUCAUCAAGAACAAUAAGAAUCUUUUUACGUUGUAACUUCCGCUUUAUCAUUUCAAUACCUCUAGAAGAAUCACAUAUAUUAGCACGUUUCAUUAAGAUUUCAGAAACAAGUUGUUCCUGUAAACGGCGAGGUCCAUCUUUCUCAUCAAAAACUUCUCUGACAUUUGCUAAGAAGCAGCUGCCUUUAAAUUGCCAACGAAACCUAUCAUAUACUACCCUUGCAACAGUCGUCUUACCUAUGCCUCCCAUUCCACAAAUCCCAAUGAAUAUUGCUUCGCCAACUUCUUCACCUAUAUAACCAUUUAAUAUCUCUAAACGAGAAUCCAUUCCAAUUAAAUUUUUGCUAACUGGCAUAGUGACGCUUAGUUUGUAUGAUAUGUAUUCAGCAAUUAUUUCAAUUGAUUCUGAUUCAUUCCUGCAUAGGAUGGUGCAAAACAUUAAUCAUGUUGUGUGCAAAUCAAAUAAGAUAGUGAUAAUGAGAAAAUAAAUAUUAGCAUAUUAUAGCUCGAAAAUGUAUGGCUGUUAGCCAUAAAUUAAUACAUCAAUCUUUGAGAAAGAUAGGGCUCUGACAAUAGAUAGCUUCAAGAACAGAGAGGAAAAGGAAAGAAUAAACUGAAAAAGGAACUAGGAUUGUAUUGAUGCUAAGAACGAUCCGUACAAUAGCUAUCUUAUUGCAUAUAGAAUCACACAGCCACUAAAGAAGCAUGCAUACAAGAACAAAAACUCUUUAUCAAGUUUGAUUUUAGCAGACCAAAAGCAAAUGUAGUUCUAUCAUAUUUUUUGUCGACCACUAAGUUAUUUUUAUAAUUAUUUUUAAAAAAAUUUCAAUUACCUUGCAUAGUAAACUUUUAAAAAACAACUUUAAAUUUAUUAAUUUUCAAGUUUUUUCCCAUCCUAGCAUAGCCCAAAAUGUUGGGUGGAGAAACCACUGGUGGUGGCUUUGAAACACUCAGAGGGGAUAAAACACAAAGUUUUAUUUCAAGAAUAAGAAGCUUACAAUAAGAAAAUAACACAAAAGCUUAAUACACGCCCUCUCUCUUUCUUUCUAGUGUUUAUCUCUAAUCUCUCCACUAAUAAUAGCAUAAGCUCAGCUGACUAUUUAUACACAAAGUGAAAGUAAGAAAAAUCUCAAAAUAUCACGUGUGAAGGUGACUGGUGGCAAGGCGGUUGGGCGGUUGACAGCUGGUGAUUGCCUUCCUUGACCUUCUAGAUAGAUUGAGUUUAAUACAGCACAAAAAAACAUUUCUCAGAUCAACAUAGCUUAAGUGGUUGCGCAAAUUCAAUCCACGCACCUUGAGACACACAAAUAUCACAUAUGCGUCACACAACUCAAAUUUUUGUCUGACGCAUAUAGCACACACGCUAGCAACUCAAAUUUCUUUGUGUUUGUCUCUUGUAACACACACACUAGACAUCAUUUUUUUUGGUGCUACACGUGCCAGUAAAUGAGCAUGCCGUUGUCUCUAGACCACGCAUGUCCUCACAUACUACUUCAUUCUUGGCUAUCUUUAGCUUUUAUGGAUCCGUCUCAUCGAACUCUUUUCGAUGUACUAAGGGUUUCAUUUUUGAAGAUUUAAUAUGUCUCCAACAUCUCAUUCCUUCUUUUUUUCUUUCUUUCUUUUCUCCCUUCAACUUUGAUUAUUGUGGCAACCCAUUUCUUUUUCUUUCUUCUCUACUUAAUCUCUUAUUUGGUCCCUCAAUUUUUAUAUAAUGUUAAUUUAAUUCCAUUAGAAUGAUCAUUUCAUUAAUUAAACUUAUUUUUAUUUAAGUUGGGCAAAAAAAUAACAGUAUUUUAGGCAAAAAUUAACUCUUUUUUAGCAAUCACCUUCAAAAUAAAUAUUAACUUCAGUUAAUAUUCUUUUUUUUUGCAAAAUAAUGGAUGAAAUAAUCGUAAUAAUAGAACUAAAGUUAACUAAAUAUAAAUAUCGAGGGACCAAAUGAAUAUACGGGCCAAUACAAAAAGAAAGGGAUAUUUUGUUGACACGUAAGACCUGCGUGUCUCAAGUUGCGUAAGUGAGACCUCUACAACUGGUGAAACAGUUCUAGUUUGGAAAGUUUUUUUACCCACCUAUACUAGUUUGAAAUUUUAUUAUUUGAUCUAUUAAAUAAUAGAAAUUCCUUUGUCCGAACAAGCAAAUUUUACAUCAAUUUUAUCCUUCCUAAAAAACACCUAACAAAUUUUAAUUUCAAUUUUUUUAAAAAAAUAAAAAUAUUCACAAAAAAUAUAUAAGUUAUAAUUAAUUUGUCUCUUUUAUUUAUAAAUAGUUGGAAUUUUUUAAUUCAUGAUGGAAAAUCCUUUUAUUUUAUUUUGAAAAGCUAAAACCAAUAUAUUCAAAAACUUUAGUCUAUUUUUUUUCUUAUGAUGAAUUUAUUGUCAUUUCUUCACAAUUUUUAAUUUUUUAAGCUAACUUUUUAUUUGUUCAUGCUAGAUUUGUUUUCAACUUUCUUUUACAUUUUCAUUUUUCUAUCUAAUAUUUUUUUUUAUUUUCAAAAUAUAAAGAAAAACCGAAGAAAAGAAAGAAAUUUUACGUAAAGAUUAGAAAUGCUUGAUCACAUAAGAUCAAGAUUUCAUAAAAAUUAAAUUAAAAAAAGCAUGCAUAUGAAAAAAUAUACAUUUACUACUAAAGCAUUUGCUAUUUGAUUUAUCAUUCAUUGAGUAUUAUUUACCAUCUUUUGAUUAACAAAACUCAAAGAACACUAAAGCAUUUGCUAAUUGAUUUGCGAUAAAGAAUAUAAUUUUUCUAGUGUGAACAAAACAUUCAAAAAAGAUAAUAAUAAAAAAAACAAACGAUUUUCAUUGGUAAAUAAAUGGAACAUUAGCAAAAAUUUGAGAAUUUUUUUUAAUUUUUGUUCAAUUUUUAUUUUAAAAAAACUGUAACCAUUGAAAUUUGAAACUAUUUAAUGGAUAAAAGGGUCGUUAAAUAGCUAUUUAAUGGAUAAAAAAUAGCUAAAAGGGUCGUUAAAUAGCUAUUUAAUGGAUAAAAAAUAUAUACUAACAAUUAUUUAUUCAAGAAUUAGUUUUGAUAUUCUUGUUGUAUUGUUAUUAUUUUGAUAUUUAAUCACUGUAAGGUGGAUUUGAGAAUAAGAAUAUGUAAAUAGAUGAUUUACCUCUUCCGUACGUCCCAGCCAGAUAGAUUGGUCACCGUAGAGAGACAAUCUUUCCAGAUCCAGACCUUCUCCAAAUUUUCCUUGAAAUUUUGUUCAUGCUCAACGAAGGCUUUCUGAUAUUGCCCUUUCCGCUCGGCUACCUCUGAGGGAUCCACAUCAUAAAAAACUGGCAGAACAGUGUGCCCCAUCUCUUUCAUGCACUGAACAAUCUUGACAAGUUCAUCCAAGCACCAUGGUGAAGAAGCGUAAUCUCCUGAAAAUAUAAUGACUGAAAACCUUGAUUCUUCGAUGGCCUUCCAGAGAGCAGGUUCGAUGGUCUUUCCUCUCUCGAGCUCCCUAUCAUCCAUGUAUACAUCGAUGCCUCUCUGAGCCAGAUUAGAAUAUAAAUGACUAGUAAAGUUGUUCCGGGUGUCUUUGCCUCUAAAACUAAGGAACACAUCAUACAUAUAUUGUGGAGGAGAAGAAGAUGAAGAAGAAGAUGAGGUUAUUCCUUGCACGCUGGUGGAAGCCAUGAAAAUCCCUAUAGCGAUAAAUUAGUACCGUUCCCUUCUAGCCUCAACUAGCUCGCUUGGUUCAGCAAUUGCUUUCCACGCUAUUUUGUGUAAGGCCUGCUCCUGUGGUCAAACAUGAAACAGAAGGUAAGAUCAAGAAAUUUGGCAAUUAAAUCUACCAAUUAGCAAUUUCAAGCUGGAACAAGUACAAUUCUACUUAGAAAUCAGAAAACACCGAAUUUCUACCAAGUAUUACUCGAAUCUAGACGAAACGAACCGCGUGGUUAGUGUUGACUAAAGAGGCACAAGAUCUAGCCAAGCCCAAUAUUUUUUUUACUUCUGGUAUCUUAGUAACCAACUUCCAAAGCCCUUUUCUUUCUUUUUAUUCCAAUGACUUCGAUUUUUUUCCGGUUUCUUUAGAUCAAGAACUCCUACCGAUAAGUUUCAUGGAUUUCUUACGGAUCCCUUUCUUACACUGUAAAGAAGAUGGACUUUUGGGGGAGAAAAAGUCAAAAGAUAUGAAAGGGAAAGCGAACGCGCAUUGGGCAGCAGAGUCAAGAGCAGGGAUCGGGCCACAGACAUCACAAUUGAGUUGAUUCAUGUUUUGUAAUGAAUUCUCAAGUCAAGCAUCUAUGUUUAAAAAGUAAAUAAGGACAUUUUACAUACAAUAAAAAGUAAUUAAGUUGAUCCUUGAUCAUUAUAUAGUUUAAUCAAUUUAUUCCUAUUUUUUAAGAAAUUAUAAUUUAUAAUAACAUUUUAUCUCCUCAUUAUCAUGUGAAAAAAAAUCAACAAAAAAUAUCUAAUUAUAUACAAAAAUUAUUAUUAUUUUCAAACUAAUAACUAUAAAUCUCUUAUAUUAAAUAUUAUAAAUUCUCAUUAAUUUUUUUUAUAAAAAAACCAACUCAGCCUGGUCCUUAUUAACUAAACCUAAUUAACAACAAACGAAAAGAAAUUCAUAUUAAAUUGAGUUUAGAAUCUCAAACUUUAAUAUUUAAUUUUAUCACAGACAACCCAACUUUGAUUUUUCCCGAUCCCUAAAACCAAUUCUUCUCUUAUUGCCAAUAUCUCAUCUCAAACCUAGUGAUUGAUUUUUAAAGUUUUAUUUUUGAAAAAAUACAUCAAAAUAAUUUUAAUAUUAUUUUUUAAAAAAUAUUUUUUAUAUAAACAUAUUAAAACAAUCUAAAAACAUAAAAAAAUAAUUUUAAAAAAUUCAAAUUUCAAAACAGGUCUAGAACCGCUUUUCCAACCAACUUUUUGGGAUAUUGAUUUGAAUCUCUUCUAUUUUCAAAAAUUCGGUUGUGUAGAAAUAAAUCUCUGUAAGCACUCUGCUACACUAGGAUUAUUCUUGGGAUGCCAACACUACUUUUAUAGAAGGGCCUUAUUGAAAGACUUAAUUUCUUUAAAACUCAUGCCCCCGUAAGCUUUGAUUUUAAGAGAUAUUUUCAACUUCUCUGGUGCACCUUUCAAUUUUUCAUAGAUUUAUAAAUUUCCAAUAAAAAACUGGGAAGGAAUUUGAUACACAAGAUCAUGUAAUUUGGUAUUGCCGCCGUACCUUUCUUACUUGUGGUGUCAGUUUUUGCUUCCACGAUUGGAGUUUUUCUGUAUUUCUAUCAAUACAAAAACCCCAAUUCUUGAACUCCCUCACCUUGUCGGAAUUCUUAACCAAUGAACCAGCCGCUCUGUCACCAUUGCAACGGCCCCUCUCCUCCAACUUUAUUAUUUUUUAUGAUUAAAUCAUGUUUAGGCAUAUGACAAUUUAAUUAUAAAAUAUUUUCAGAAAAUUCACUGAAAAAGAUAAAACAAUGUUAUUUGCCCAACAACUUUAAAAUAUUAUUUGGAAUAUACUUUUAUACUUAAAAAAAUAAUAAAAAAUAAAGAAUUGAUUAAGAGUUAAAAAAGGCUUUAAACAACAAAUUAAAUAAAAAAGAUAAAAUCAAAAAAAUAAAAUUGAAACCAUCAAGUCCAACCAAUUGAAGGAUAUCUCAAAAUCAAUAAUCAAAUAAAAGCAUUAGUGAGGAAAGGGAUAACAAUAUGGAUGGGCUAAUAGAAGAAUGGUUGGAUUAAUAAAUUUCAAAGUUGAGAGAACUUAAUUAUUAACUUGUGAUAGCGGUUGUUUUUUUAAAGUUUUUUUUAUUUAUAAAUAUAUAAAAAUAAUAUUUUUAUUUUUGUUUUUUAAAUUUUAUUUUUGACAUCAAUAUAUUAAAAGAUCCAAAAAAAAAAUAAAAAUUAAUUUUAAACAAAAUAAAAUAAAAUUUUAUAACACACAAUGUUUACUGCAAAAACAAAAAGACAAUUGAUAAUAUAAGAACUCUAAGGCUCAUCCUAUAUAACGAAAGGAAAUCCCAGCCACUCAUCUCCCGACACUUUCUACACAUAAUUAAGAUAGCAUAGACGAAGACUCCAAGAGAUAAUCCAAUAUUUCUUCCUGCUGAGCUGUUAAUUGAGCAGUACAGACCCUGACAAAGAAGGGUAAUGGAUGCUGAAAAUUUUCAUUGAUCAAACCGGAUCAUUCCUGAAGAUUUUGAUUUGGAUUUUUAUAUAGACAAUCUAAAUACCCGAACCAGUUCAAAAAUCUAACCUAGAGAGACCAUGUUAUAGGAUACAGAUGGAAAAAAUGAUUUAUUGUCUCAAUUUUCUUGCAACGAAAAAGGCAAAGAGCUUUCUUAUAAUUAAUAAUCCUCCUCUCAACUAAAAAACAUUUUGUAUUGAGGUUGCCAUUUAGAAGGAACCAUAUGCACACAUCCACUUCUGGAGGGGCAUGCCCUUUCCAAAGCAGAAUAGGGGGGGAGUGAUUUUCUUUAGCCGAGAGACUAUUAAAGAAGAGGCAUCUUGAGUGAAUUGAGUACAUGCCGGAAUUGUGGAAUUUCUAUAUCUUGCGGUCUUCACCAUUAGAGAAGACAAGACCAUGUUGCAAGAACAUGUUGUGCUAUGGUUUCUUCAAUGGUCAGAAAAUCAACGGCCACCAUCGAUGGGCAUCCAAACACCUUUUUUCAUCAUUUCCACCUAGCUCCUUCUAAUCUAUUAUAAUCCAAUUUAAUUGCUCUUAAAUUAAUUGAAAUCAAUUUUUUGAAACAAAAAUAUAUCUAGGCUUCGAUCUAUCUAUAGUAAAACAUCAUGGUCUUUUAUUUCUUUAUUAAUUUUAAUCUUAAUUAAUAAUAAUAAUAAUAAUAAUGUUGUUGUUAUUAAUUUAUAAUUUCUAAUAUACUAGUGCUUGUAUAACAAAACUGAAUCCAACCUCUUGGAUAAUGUAGCCACCAUAGCUUGAACACUAAGUGCAAACUCAUAAAAAUGGUUCUCGAUCCGUCCAAUAAUGAAAAUUCUUAAAGGCUUAGCAUCACCAUUAACAUAGUCUUUAUGAUUCAGAUAGUUACUCACCCAGACCAAUCUACACGUAUAUAUAUAUACAUAUACAUAUACAUAUAUAUAUAUAUAUAUAUAUAUAUAUAUAUUAUUUUCAAGUUGGAUGAAAACAAGCAAUAAACAAGGAAGUAACUUGACCAACAUAAUCAUUGAAAGUAAUUCAUACAAUUCGUUGAAUAAAAAGCUAACCCUCCACAAUUCACAGUACUCGUUCACAGUAGUAAUCACCCACGAUCAAAAUAAGAAGAAUAAGUCCCACCAAUUUUAUAGCUCCUACAUAUUUUUUAUUAAAAGAUUGAUCUUAAGAAAAUUAUAAAAUUAACUGAGAUUAAAAAAAACAUUAAAUUAAAUCCAAAAAACAUUCCUCGCCGCUACAACCCUUCAUUUUCACAGCUCCAUCCUGGUAACAAAAUAUAAAAUGUUUUUUUAAGAAAAAACAAUUAUAAAAAGUUUAAUUAAAUUCCAAACACAAUUUCAACCAUCAAUACAAACAUGACGGAUUCCUCUAUCAUCAAACCAUUUUUUUUUAUAAAAAUUCAAAUAGUAAAUAAAAAAAUUCAAAACAACAUAAAAAAUGGAUUCUUUUUAAUUAUCCAAAAACAAGAGAAUUUGGGUUAGUGAGUUGUGAGGGGUUAAUGAGUUUGAGGGAUCGUAUAGUAUACUAUUAUUUUGUCCAUACCAUUGAUCUCUCCGUGGCUAACAAUGUUAUUUGCCCAAUAACUUUAAAAUAUUCUUUGGAAAAUACUUUUAUACCUCAAAAAAUAAUAAAAAAUAAAGAAUUGAUUAAGACUUAAAAAAGGCUUUAAAAAACAAAUAAAAAAGAUAAAACCAAAAAAAUAAAAUUGAAACAAACAAGUCCAUCCAAUUUUUUCUUUCCUUCAUUUAUAAUUACAUGUUUAUUAAUUAAAAAUUAUGCAACAUAAAUUUUAAUUAUGAGACCGAGUAAAAUAAAAAUGAAAAAACACAGUAUACAUAAUUAUAUAUACAUAAAAGUCCUCGGCACUGCAACUACUACAUCAGCGGCAUCACCCUCUUUGGGAUCUUGAUUUUCAUCGGAUUAGCACACAACACAUCAAUUUGGCUGGAAAGGACUGCCAAGGUACUGUGAUUCUGAAUAAUUAUUUUGCUAUGCAUCAAAUAAUUGUGGCUGCAGCUGAUAAUCCACCUGGUUCGACAUCAAAUGAUAAUUCACAUCGUUUUUUGAUGAAUUGUGCUGCAAGUGGUAGCUGACUUGGUUAACCGAAUACGCUGUGGACCAUUUCAUUUAAUUGGGGUUCCUGUUCAUAGUCUGGGGGUGACUGCGAAUGCAACGCCAUGUGCCUGAUGUGAUUGCAAUUUUGAGGUAGUUGGCUGGUUGAAGUUAAGAUGAUUAUUAGGGGUGUUUAUUGUCCUAUCCGGAACAAAUUGAAAAUCAAUUUAAAUUAAACCAAUCUAGUUUGAUUCAUUCAAAAUCAAGAAACCAAACAGCUUGAUAAGACCUGCAAAAAGCAAAGGGAUAAUUUGAUAUUACAGUUAGGAUAAUCAAAGAAGAAAAAAGAGUAAACCCUACAAAAGAAAAAUAGCAAAAAAAGGAAAAAUUUAAUUAAAGGAAGUUUACUUUUCAAAAAUAAAAAAAUAAAUAAAAAUGUUUAUUUUCUAAUAUAAUUUCAAUUCAGAAAAAAAAACAAAAAAAAAAAAGUCAUCUCAAUGGAACAACAUAAAAAAGCAAGAGAAAAAUUUGGUCAUAAGUGCAUGCAUGAAUGAUCAAUGUUAAUAUUUCUUUUCAAAAGCUUCAAUGUAGAAAAAUCUAUAGAAUAGGAAAUAAUAAUGGGAAUAUAAUAAUAAUAAUGACUAGUCUAUGACUUGAUCUGGUUCAAUUGGUUUUAAAAUUUUAAAACUGAAACUAAACUGGAUAGAAAGUAUUUUUAUUUUCUAAUUAGUUUAUUGAGUUUUUCUUCUUAAUUUGAUUUUUUCAGUUGAUUUUUUUUUGUUUAAUCAAUUUUUCAGUUUCCUUGAAUAUCCCUAACGCUUAUUAUACUGAAACAUGCAAGGUUGUAAAGCGCAUAACAAUCCUGCACAUUUGUGCAUCCCUUGAGUUCUUUUUCAUUCAAAUUAUACUCUUUUGAUCAGUAUUCCUAGUUAAGCACAAUCACAUUAAAUAAUAAAUAAUCAUCAUUUUCUUGUACUAUCUAAGUAUUACCUUAUUUGCAGAAACAAUUUAGCUUUCAUUUACAAAUCAUUUUCAAAAGAAGGAAAAUUGAAAAACAUUCAGCUUAUUUACAAAUCAUUUUCAAAAGAAGGAAAAUUGAAAAACUCUGUUUCUGGCCUCUCAGCUAAGCUGGUAAAAUCUACACAUGUGAUAGCAUGUGAAGGUAUACAAAAUUAUCAGUAUGAGAUUUUGUUCAAAGAACAUCACAUGUUAGUACCAAAAGAUGAUUUAGUUCAAACAAUAAAAUAUGCAUCAGUAACCAUGCAAUGCAUCUAAUAUGUAUCCGCAUGACCUCAAAAACUGGUUGUAGCUGCUUCCUAGGUGCCCUCUUAACUGCUUCACGUUGCUGUUUAGCACCAUGUAUCCGCAUGACAUACGAUGGUAAGAACAAGUGAGCUCCUUUAUCAUAACUGCAAAGGGCAUUGAGGUUAUGCUCGACACGAGUAAGAGAGCUAUGACACAAUUAUCUAAGAAGAGCUUAGAACACACCAAAAAGCUACUUAAAUGCCAGGUCCUGAUUUGUUACUAGAAGCAAUAGUGGUGUUAAGAGUUGCUACAACUACAUGGGAACCAGAAUCCAACCACAAACUCAUUAAAUUCCAGAUUAAAGUAGCGUAUGCAAGGAACAUGUACGAAGAAGUUGUUGUUUGGUGGGAGAAACCACUGGUGGUGGCUUUGAAACACUCAGAGGGGAUAAAACACACGGUUUUAUUUCAACAACAAAAAGCUUACAAAAUAAACAAAAACUCUUAAUACACGCCCUCUCUCUUUCUCUCUAGUGUUUCUUUCUUCUCUUUCCACACACAGUAACAUAAACUUAGCUGCCUAUUUAUACAUAAAUUGAAAGUAAGAAAAAAUCUUAGUUGGCGGUGGUGUGAAUACGGCUGGCGGCUGGCGGUUUGAGAAGUUGCUGGCGGUGAAUGCAGGCGGUGACUGCAAGCGGUGGUUGUCGUCUUUGACUUUCUUGGAUUGAGUUUAUUGCAACAUUUAUAUCUUCCAAAUUUGAAUACAAGGAUCUAAAAUUAAUUUUAGUGGGGACUAUGCUAAUGUGCCUCCUGCAACUUGCAUGGUGAUUGAGUGAAAGAGCCAAGACCCUCUAUAAACUUGCUAGUAAACAAAGUGCUCUUUCCCCAAAACCAAUUCAUGAAAUGGUUUUCAUCUGAUGCUCAAUCUGAUCAAAUUAAGAUAUUCAGAGUGCAAUCACUGGUUUAAAUCUUUUCUUUUUGUAGAGAGAAAGUGUGUCCAGGAAUCUUAGUCCUAAUGGGCAAUUUACAACCAAAAGCGCUAGGGAGCUUAUCAGAUUGGCAAUAGGUUGAAUGGCAGAAGCUGCUAUAGAGGCCUCUUCAUAUUCCAAAGCAUGUGUAGUUUUUCCAAUGAGGAUUGUGAUCACCUAUUCAUGAAAAACUUAACCAAAGCCCAUGAAAAACAUAUCCUAACUAACUUGCCGAACAAUAAGGUUAAAAAAUCUCAGUUUGACUGCAGAGAUCCGUCUGUGCCAUUUCUCCCAUGUAAUCAUCUGUUUUCUCCUUGCACUUCUGGCACAUUUGAAAUUUGAAAUAAAUACCUAUAUAUGAAUCAUCACCUAUAGAAACUAAACUACCUCAAUCAAGUUCUCUAUUUACUAUCCUAAUCCUAAAUUAACUACAUGUCUGACCUCACAUGAAAACAACAAUUCGAUACUCUUAUCUUUUCUUGCGCUGAAAUAAUCCACCACAGCAUCCUUGUAGAAAACCUAACACCUUUUCUUUCUCUAUAUUUUAUCUCUAACUGCCAACCAUUCUUUUCCAUGAAGUAUACCUCUCCCUUUGACAUCAAAAACAUUAUCAUAAAGUGUUGGGGAUUCCGCCUCCCCCAUGCGCGGACCGGGGGUGUACUAAUAGUUGCUCAACGGAGGGUAAAGCACACUGACACAAUAUUUUACGUGGUUCGGCAAAUUGCCUACAUCCACGGGAGAGGUUCAUUUUAUUAGAGAUUAGAGAAAGGAUACAAAACAAAUAUAUAGAGGAGGAGGAUCACUUCACUCUACUCUACUCCCAGCUCAUCUUUACUGCACUUGCAGCUGCUGCAAUGGCAGCAAGGCUGCUGCCAUUGCAGCUCUCUUUCUCUCCACACUCUUGCACACACUCACGAUUCUCUCACUCAUUUUUCUCUCAAAUAUAAGCCUCCUUUAUAGGCAUUUCAUGGUCAACAUGGAGGGGCCAAUAGCCUUAAAGCAUGGCAUGAAUUGUGGCACAAUUCAUGCUUCCACUUGCUUAGUGGUGGGGUAUUGCCACAAAUGGCAAUAUCCUAACAAUCACCCCCUUUGCCAUUUGUGUGAGCAAUUGUCUUCUUGCUUCUUCAGCACAAGCUUGCAUCUUGCAGCUCUUCCAAGCUUACCAUUCUGAGAGCGUCUUCAACACAACAUUCCCUUUAAACCAUCAGCUCUGAUACCAAUUGUUGGGAUUCCGCCUCCCCCAUGCGCGGACCGGGGGUGUACUAAUAGUUGCUCAACGGAGGGUAAAGCACACUGACACAAUAUUUUACGUGGUUCGGCAAAUUGCCUACAUCCACGGGAGAGGUUCAUUUUAUUAGAGAUUAGAGAAAGGAUACAAAACAAAUAUAUGGAGGAGGAGGAUCACUUCACUCUACUCUACUCCCAGCUCAUCUUUACUGCACUUGCAGCUGCUGCAAUGGCAGCAAGGCUGCUGCCAUUGCAGCUCUCUUUCUCUCCACACUCUUGCACACACUCACGAUUCUCUCACUCAUUUUUCUCUCAAAUAUAAGCCUCCUUUGUAGGCAUUUCAUGGUCAACAUGGAGGGGCCAAUAGCCUUAAAGCAUGGCAUGAAUUGUGGCACAAUUCAUGCUUCCACUUGCUUAGUGGUGGGGUAUUGCCACAAAUGGCAAUAUCCUAACAUAAAGAAUUCCAUAGCAAUCCCUAAAUUCUCCUGCCUGUGGCAAUAAUGUUAAUUUUCCGGUAUUAGACAUGGCUGUGAUUAGCAAAUGCUCUUCAAUGUUUAAAGACAGUGUUCUCUGUUUUGUUGACAAAACAUUCCAUCUCAUAUCUCACAUUCACCAUGUUUUCAAUAAACACCAGAAAGACAAUUAGUUUCCCUUCCAAUGGAGGUUACAGAAAUGGAGAGGCAGAGUCUUGAAACAUGCUGAAAUGUUAAUUUCAAUUAACUAAAAUUGGGAUUGGAAUUCCAGUCUUUAUAAUCAGAGAUUCAUCCCUUCAUCUAUUAUACCAUUUUAAGCAUUUAACUUGACAUGAAAAUUGAAAACAGCUCCAGGCAUCAAGCAGAAGUAACCAAAACACUAUGUUAAUAUUUCUGAACUUGGAAUAUAUCCAACUAAAAAAUAUAAAAUUAAAACAAGACAAUCGAGGAAAAACUGUAAAUAUAAAACAAGUUAACAUACCCUCUCCAUCUAAGUGGUGGCACCAACAUUGGCAUAUAAGGAAUCACCAUGUGCCUAGCCUGUUUGGAGAAACAACAUUUUUAUGACUUCUUUUGCAAGAAAAAAGAAUGAAAGACAAACAUCUGCAACUUAAGAAGCACCAUGGAAAUUGACUACAAUUCUUACCUGUUUCAGCUCUAAAAUCUAGAAACUAACCUAUCUGCUUUGAAAGUAUAUGGCACCCCGACACAAGUUCAUGUCAUAAAGGAUGAUAAAAUAUGAAAACUAGAUAUCACUAGAAGAACAAAAUUUGACAGGGUCACAUUGAAUAACAACAUAUUUUGUUUGUAACAGCAAUUCAAUUAGAAGGCUUCCAAGCUGCAAAGUGCAAGGACAGAAAUCAAAUUCGUACACGAUACAUUUGUUCAAGAAAAUUAGCCUUUAUCAAUGAUUACAAGCACACAAACCUUAGCCCUAGCAUCUGCAUUCCUUGGUUUUGAAUCAUCCUUCCCCUUCACAAUCUUCCUCACAGCUGGCAGCUUUUAUUUUUUAAUCAAAUCAGUAACCUUUUUUCUUAGGUUUUCUUGUUCCUUCAUGACAGCAGGGGAUUCACCUUCUACACCAUUCUUGCUAUCAUCAGCCCUUUCCUUUUUCUUCCUUGUUUUCUCCAAGAUAUUGUGUAUUCUAAUCUGUUUCAUCACGGAAACUGUUACAGAUUCAGUCCUCAGUUCAAAGAAAGAGAACAAGACUGAAGAGUUAGGAGGUCCCAAAAAUGGAUUAAGAAUGGUACACCUAAAUAUCUCUUCAUUGUAUAGUUCUCUCUUUUUAAAGAAAAAAAGGAAAAGAAAAGAGGAAGCAACUCCCAUAGUCAGAAGAGACAGUAGAGCAAAGUGUCACGCAAGCCUUUAAAGUCUAAACUAAGAGAAAAACUUAAUCAACUUACAAAACAAAGGCACAAACAAGAACACACAUAAUUGAAAUGAUAAAGAUAAUUGUUGUCCUCAACAGGGAAAUGCAAAAGUAUAAAUCCAUAGUGAAACAAUGUCCAAACAUGAGAUGAGCUCUGACAAAGGAAAGUUGAAAUGUCACCCUUAUAAGUCCACCAUGUCCAUGCUUUGAAGAAAUUUUAGCUCCAAAAAGAAAGUUUAAUACAGCCUAAUAAGGCCCGUGAUAUGAAAAGUUUAAUACAUAAUGACAAAAUUGUAAAAACUUGGUAUCUAAAGGAUCUUACACUACAUUGUUUUUCCUACCUAUAUUUAGUGUCCUCCCUGGAACUAUGAACAGCAGAAGAACUUGGACUGAGAGUAAAAACUAUAGAUAUAUAAGAAAGAAAUCCAGAAAAACCCCAUUCAACAUUCAACAAAACUUUAUGGAACGUAACUUCAAAAUCUAAUUUUCCAGGCACUACUAGCUCCAUAGCUGAUUUUUAUCUCAUAAUUGUACAUAGAAACUUUCAUCUUUCUUCCUAGUUCAUCACCUCGGAUGAAGGUUGUCUAAAAGUAAAUUUAAGAAACUUUAUGUUUUCCCUUAUCUUUCAAUAUUUUUAUACGGGCACUCAUUAUCCUCUGUCUACAAAUCAAACCGCAAGUAAAAAUAAGCAAAUAAAACAUUAAAAAUUACAUAUCUCCUGCUCAAUUGCAUCACCAAUCAUACAAGCAGCAGUCACAACUCUUGCACAUCCAUGUUCCCCACCUGUCAUUACCAUUGCUGCGAGUUGAUGUGAAAAGGUAAUGCCUACACGGUAUGACGUGAGGAAAUCUUUAUUUAUAGAAUCUGUACAAUCAUAGAAAAGGAAAGCACAUAUACAGAAUAUGGAAAGCAAAUAUACAGAGUAAAUGAAUAGCUAUAAUUAUGGAGUAUCACUGAUCUCUUGGUCAUAAUUAGGGGAACCAGAUUUGUCUCUAAUAUCCCCCCUCAAUGUUGUCGUGGUGGAAAAAGGAAAAACACACAACUUGCCACGAUCCAAUAAGAACUGUAAUUUGGCCACCCCUUUUGUGAAGACAUCAGCUAGCUGGAGGUGUGAGGGGACAAAACAGAGACUAAGAGUCUUUGCUGCAACAAGUUCCCGAACAAAAUGAUAGUCAAUAUUAAUAUGUUUGGAGCGAGAUUUGGUGACAGGGUUGGAAGCAAUGAAAAUGGCACUGGUGUUGUCACAUAGCAAUCUUGGCGAAGAAGGGAGGGUGAUAUGUAGCUCACAAAGGAGUUGAAGCAUCCAGGAAAUUUCAGCAGCGACUGUUGCUAAAGCACGGUAUUCUGCUUCAGCACUUGAGCGAGCAACAGUGGUUUGCUUCUUAGAACACCAUGAGAUGAGACUUUGGCCAAAGUAAACAGCAUAGCCUGUGGUAGAGCGUCUGGUAACAGGACAACCAGCCCAGUCUGCAUCGGAAUAGCCAAUCAAAGUGGAAGAAGAAUGUUGUGAAAGUUGUAAGCCAUAAUGAUAAGUGCCUUUGACAUAGCGCAAAAUACGCUUUAAAGCAUGAAAGUGAUCUGUUGUAGGAGCAUGCAUAUAUUAGCAUAUAGAAUUAACACUGUAGGACAAAUCAGGCCGGGUAAGAGUUAAGUAUUGCAAAGCUCCUGCAAGCGACCAGAAUUGAGUAGCAUCACAGUGAGGAGUGCCAGAUUCUGUGAGAUGAGACCCAACCACAAAAGGAGUGGAAAUCGGUUUGUAAUCCACCAUGUCGGCACGAGUCAAGAGAUCAAGAGCAUAUUUUGCUUGACUCAGAAAAAUUCCUUUGUCAUUUCGAAUGACUUCGAUACCCAAAAAAUAGUGUAAGUCACCACGAUCCUUCAUGGAAAAUUCUUGGGCUAGACGAUUGAUGAGUGUACGAAGCAUAAGCUGAAGACUGCCGGUGAUGAUCAUAUCAUCUACAUAUAAGAGAAGAUAAAGAACACCAUGAGUACCAUGAUAAACAAAUAAUGAGGAAUCAGCACGACUUGCAAGAAAACCAAGGCCAAGCAAAAAAUGACUGAAAUGCUGGAACCAUGCUCGGGGAGCUUGUUUCAGACCAUAAAGAGCCCGUUGUAAGCAACAAACAUGAGAGGGAAACUCAGGAUCAAUAUAUCCAGGAGGUUGUUCCAUGUAGACUUCCUCCUGAAGGAAACCAUGCAAGAAAGCAUUUUUAACAUCAAGUUGACGAAGAGCCCAAUUAUGCAUGGCAGCAAGUGUUAAGAUAAGUCUAACAGUGGCAGGGCAAACAACAGGGCUGAAUGUUGCGUCAAAAUCAAUGCCAUGUUUUUGGGAGAAACCCUGGGCCACAAGACGGGCUUUGUGACGUUCUACAGAACCAUCUGCCUGAAGCUUCGUUUUGAAAAUCCAUCGACAACCAACAACAUUAUGAUUAUGUGGACGAGGAACUAAACGCCAUUUGUUAUUCUGCUUGAGAGCAGCAAUUUCAUCAUCCAUAGCAGAAAGCCAUUCAGGAUGCUUGAUGGCUGACUUAAAGCCACGAGGUUCCUUAAUUGCAAGAUGUGCCUGAAACCAAGAUGGAGAAGACAAAGCAGAUAACGAAUGAAUAGUGCGAGGCUUAACAAUAUCGUUCUUAGCACGAGUAACCAUAGGGUGAUUAAUGGUUGGUGAUGGAUUAGACGAAGAAGAAGAAGAAGGUAUGAUGUCCAAGGCUAUCACCAAAGAUGAGGGCGGUAAGAAAUCUUCUGAAAGUGGUGAAGGAAUGUGUGAAUCAGCACAAGGCACACAGGAGGUGGAGGCCAGGCGAGGAGCUGGAAUUACACUGGAAGUUGAAGUAUCACUAGACAAAGACGGGUCAGAAGAAUCAUCAAAAGUAAUAUAAUCGGUGCCACCUAAAAAAGGAAGAGGGGAAGAAGCGGAAGCAUAAGGAAAAUAGUUUUCAAAAAAUUGAACAUGACGAGAAAUGUAUACCCGAUUAGUUUUCUUAUCCAAGCAACGAAAACCUUUGUGAAGGUUACUAUAGCCAAUGAAAACACAAGGUAGGGACCUAGGAGAUAAUUUAUGAGGCAUGUAAUCACGAAGAAAAGGAAAACAAAGGCAACCAAAUGUACGAAGCAUGGAAUAAGAAGGAGGGUGAGAAUAUAAAGUUUCAUAAAGAGACUUACCAUCAAGAACUGGUGAUGGGAGGCGAUUGAUGAGAUAACAAGCCGUGGAAAAAGAGUCAACCCAUAAAUGUAAAGGCAUAUUAGAAUGAAACAUAAGGGUAAGACCAGUUUCAGUAAUAUGGCGAUGCUUUCUUUCAGCAAUGCCAUUCUGAUUCGGUGUAUAAGGACAAGCAAUUCGUUGUAUGAUACCAUGUGCACGAAGAAAUGAGGUAAAACGAUGAUUUGUAAACUCAGUACCACCAUCACAUUGAAAAGAUUUGAUUUGAAUGUCAAAUUGAGUUUGGACAUACUUAUGAAAAUGAACAAAUAUGUCAAAGAAAUCAGACUUAAGUUUUAAUGGAUAAAACCAACUAAAACGUGAAAAUUCAUCAAUUAAGACACAAUAAUACUUAUGGCCAGAUGGAGAAGUGAUCGGGGAUGGACCCCAUAAAUCACAAUGUAUCCGUUCAAAUAAAGAAUUACAUCGUUGAUCCACGUUAGAGAAUGGUAAACGAUGACUUUUGCCUAGUUGACAACCAAAACAAGGUUUUGAAUCAAUUGACCGAUUAUCAGAAACUGAAAUAGCACCAUGUUUAUUUAAAGAGGAAACAACACGAAAAGAGGGAUGCCCUAGUCGUGCAUGCCAAAUAAAGGAUGAAGCACGAAGAUUACAUGUAGAAAGACUAGAUAAAAAGGUUGCAUGGCCACGAUCAAGAACAUAAAGCCCGUUCUUACAUCGACCUACUCCCAUCACCUUUCUUGUUGUUAAGUCCUGUAUGAAAAAACCAGAAGAAGAAAAAAUGACUAAGCAAUUGUUCUCACGAGUAAAUUUGCUGAUUGACAAAAGAUUCUUAGUAAUGCUAGGUACAAGGAGAACAUCUGAUAAAGGUAAAGGAUGAGAAGCAACAAUCGAAUUGAUUUUGCCAAUGCGAGAAAUAGACAUUGAAUUACCAUUACCAACAUACACCCUUUGAUUACCAGUAUAAGGAACAGAAUUGUCAAGUGCAUUAACAUCAUUUGUCAUAUGCGAAGUAGCGCCAGUAUCAGUAUACCAUUCAGAAGUAGUAGAUGGAUCAAUGGAAGUAGCAGCAAAAACCUCAAGUAAGCCGUCUCCUUUGGCCUUUUUUAAUAACCUGUUAAGUUUGUGACACUUCUUAGCAGUAUGCCUCUCUUUAUUACACCACUGACAGGUAACAACCGAAGAUCUAGAAAAAUUUCCAGAAACGGAUGAAGAGAUGGCAGAUUUUGGGCGACCAGAUGCAGCACUGAAAGAAGAAACUCGGUGUGCAACAAAAGCUGACGGAGAAGAUAAAUCACCAUGAAGAGACCGAGAAAAAAGCUCAUGGCUGAGAGCUUGUGGUAUCAAAUUGGCAAAGGAAGGCAUCGGUAGCUGUGACAAUAUUGAUGUUGAAAAGAUUUUGUAAUCUGAUCCAAGACCACGAAGAAACCAGUGUACCUUAUCAGUGUCAUCAACAGCUUUGCCAAUAGCACUAAGUUGAUCACAAAGAGAGCGAAAGGAACGAGCAUAUUCAGUGACAGUACGAGAACCUCGUUGCAUCAGCUGGAGUUCAUCUUUCAGUUGAAUUUCUCGGGUCUUAGAACUGUGUGAAAAAGAAGCUUCAAGAGCUAGCCAAGCAUCACGAGAGGAAGAGCAAUCCACUACUUCAGCCAUACAUUCCUCAGUGAGAGAGGCAUAAAGAAGGCCGAGUAUAAGCCGAUCUUGUGUGUGCCAUUUUUUGUAAGAAGGAUUUGGUAGCAGCUCAGUACCCUGACGAAUCUGAGUUGAAGGUACUGGGAAAGACCCAUCCAGAUAACCCAGUAGAUCUUGACUUUCAAGUAAGGGUACAAAUUGACGACGCCACAAGAGGUAAUUUGUGGGAGUGGAAGCUGGUUGGUAGAGAAUUCAGCCAUAACAAGUAAACAGAUUUGCAAGAAUUUCAAGCUUGCGUUGAAAAAGAGAAAAUUGCAGAGAAAGUGGAGAAUAAUCUUGCUGGCUCUGAUACCAUGAAAAGGUAAUGCCUACACGUUAUGACGUGAGGAAAUUUUUAUUUAUAGAAUCUGUACAAUCAUAGAAAUGGAAAGCACAUAUACAGAAUAUGGAAAGCAAAUAUACAGAGUAAAUGAAUAACUAUAAUUAUGGAGUAUCACUGAUAUCUUGGUCAUAAUUAGGGAACCAGAUUUGUCUCUAAUAUGAUGCAUUGCAAUAACAGACAUCUUGUCAGCUGGCAACAGAUCAAAAUACGGAGCAUAACCCUGCCUACUCUUCCCCGUUCCAAUCAACUCCUUCUCUUUCGCAAUUGCGUCUGUAAAAGGCUCAAACCAACCAAGGAACAAGCUCUUCAUAUAUGGCAAAUUAGGAGCCAACUUAUGCUCACACAUAUCCUUCAAAAGCUCCUUAUAUUCUUUCGUUGCCAGUUCCCAUGCUUCCGCCUCAAUCUUCACUUGCCUUCUCCUUUAGACCCUAUGCUUCCUUGACCCUAUUCCAGGGUUAGCAUGUAGCCUCCUCCUUCUAAAGUGCUCCUCUUUCUCCUCUUCUUUCCUCAUUUCUGGUAGCAAUUCUCGCACUUCAUCCGCACCAGACACGUCAUCUUCAACAUCUGUUGAUGACACUGCCUCAGCUACACUCACAUACCCUCUUGGACAAAAUCCACCACACCGAUUCCCAUUAGUACUAUCACUAUUUCUCAAAAAAAUAAAACUGGGUUUUCCCAUAAAAUCUUCAUGGGUUGAUAUUUCGCCAAUUGCUCGAAAACUCAGUCGUGGACUUGUGUUAUAAAGCGAAUGGAACUUGAGUUUCUCAAAAAAGAUGGGUUCUUUAGAGGCUCCUAAAAAGCUGUAAGUUCUUGGAAAUGAAGGGAAAUUGAGGGACUUUGAUUGGGAUUUCAAAGUGGCUUGUUUUGCGACGUUUCUCCACAUAACUGUGGAUGGUUUAGAGAUAGAAUUGUGGGUUUCUUAUCAAAAGUAAUCAAAGGAUCAAAAUUUUUGGUAGAAAAUAUAUGGGAGUUGGCCCUCUAAUUAAAGGAAAUGAAAAAAAGAAAGAAAUGGAAUUGAAGUGAUUGAGAGAUGGAUUAAAAUGCGCGGGUAAUGCAAGUUGAGAAAGGAAAUGAGUUCAUAGAGAGGGUAUGGUAGUGGUAUUAGCAUACCGGCCGCCCUAAACCCUGCAUAAACCUUCUUUGGGGUUUUUGGCCAAAUCGUCUUGUUUGUUUCUCUCUUUUCACUACUUGUGUUGCCAUGAAUCCAGGACUAGAAGGGGCAUUUGUAUAAUCUCAAAAGUUUCCAAGGGCUUGGGGUUAUAAAUUGCAAGUCGUGGGUGGAUUCCUAAGAUAAAGUUGGGCCAAUUUGAAAUAACAAAGAAAAAUAAUUUUGGCAUAUAAUUUUAUUAAUCUUUAUUGUUUGUAAUUUGCAGAGCAUAAUUAGGAAUGUAGAAUUAAAUUUUAUUAUUUUUGUCUCAAACCAGUUACAAAUGUAGCAAGUCCAAUUUUGGCGUAAGUGAUUAUAUAUAUUAAUAUUUAUGUGUUUAUAUAGUUGUAAAUAUAAAGCUAUUAAUAAUAAAAAUUGUUGGUGCACCUAAGAGAAAAGUAUAGAAGUUUAUUAAUUACUAAAGAAAUACCUUCCGAAAUUCAUAUUCUAUUUAAAAGCUUGCCUACCAAAGCGACAAUUUGUCAGGCUAAAUUAUUAUUUUUUUUGUUAGAGUAUGUUGUGUUUGUUUAGUAAAAAAAAUAAAAAUAUAUUUAACUAAAAAAUAAAAGGAAAUAUAUAAAAUUCAAAACAUAAAUUAUAUGUCCAUACAUUCCUUCUGUUUUUUUUUGUUUUUAUCUUUUUUUAUUUUAAAAUAAUAAUAAUCAAACACCAUUUUUUAUUGAAUUUAAAAAUAGUGAGUGAACUUGGAGGAAUCCAACCGCAAAUAUAGAGGAAGAAAAAAACAUUCAGCUUAUUUACAAAUCAUUUUCAAAAGAAGAAAAAUUGAAAAACUCUUUAAUUCAUUCAUUGUAUCAACUUGAAAAAUAAGUCUUUGUAAAAAAAAAUUAAUAAAAAUUUUCUUGAGUUGCAAGAUUUAUGUGAAUUCAAGAAUAACUGAAAAUUUGGCAAAUUGAAUCCAACAAUAAUAUUACCACAAUAAUAAAUUUAUGUGAGAAUUGUUUAGAAUGAUUAUAAUGUAUGUAUACAGCUCGGUCGCAUGUAAGAUCAAUUGUCAUGUAUUUUGAAUGUAAAAUGCAUAUUAUUAAUAUUAAAAAAUAAUAUAAAUCAUAUUUUGAAACCUCAAUAAAUAGUUUAAGCCACCGAGUUAAAUUGAUUUUUUGUCAUUAUAUCAGAGCUUUAAUGACCAAACGGUCACGAAUUCAAAUCUCAUCAUCCUCAUUUAUUUAAUAAAAAUUAAACAUAAGAUAGUGUGACGUUAUGCAAAUUCAAGUCCAAAAUGCUUCCACUUGAAAGGAGUGUUAGAAAAUAAUAUAAAUCAUAUCUUGAGACCUCACCUAACAGUUUAAGCUAAUCCAUUAAACAUAAAACGUAGUUAUUGUAUUUAAAUUUUAAUAAAAAAUUAAAUUAAUGAGUUAAGAUUUUGUUGAAAAAUAUUUUUUUGCAUGAAUAUUAAUUAUAGCAUGAAAUAUUAAAAUACUUAAAAUUAAUUAUAGAUAAAUAAAAAAUUAAUUUUAAAGAAUUCUGAAUGAAAUUGAUGAAAAAAAAAAUAUAUUGAUAAGAAAUUAUUGGUUUUAUCUUUUAGAAAUAUAUAUUGUUUUUAAUUUAAAUCUAACACAUACACCCAAAACCAGAGUUAAAAAAAUAGGCAGAAUAGCGAUUCCAAAAUAAUGGUUGAAAUUUUCCAGAGCAAUCCUUCCAUCCGCAAACAUGGGAUUAUCCUAAAUUUAAGAAGAAAAUCCAUACAUAGUAAAAUGUGAAUCUAAUUACCCCAAACCAAAACCAUGAGCAAAAACUGAUGAAGAUCUUCAAGCUAAAGCAAGUUAAAUUCCUAACCAAAACCCAGGGAGCUGCAGCUGCUGCAGCUGCUGCUGGAGCACCUGCUGCCGCUGCCGGAGCACCUGCCACCGCACCUGCCAGAGCACCUGCCGCCGCACCUGCCGGAGCACCCGCUGCUGGAGCUUCUGCUGGAGCGGCUGCUCAUCGAGCUGCUGCUGCGGCCACUGCUGGAGCCCCUGCUGCUGGAGCUUCUGCUGCUGAUCGAGCAUCAGGUUAUGCUUGAGCUGCAGCAGCUGCUCCUCGAGCAGCUGCUGCCGCAGCUCAGGUAUAGUCAAACUGUACAUGGAAUCGAUGUUACAUGUUUUGUUGGGUGUUAAAAAAAAAUUUAAUAAAAAAUUUAUAGUUAGAUUUUCAACAUGUUUUUGUAUAUAAAAAAUUUUAAGUGAAAAUAAAAAAAAAAUAUGCAUAAAUAUAAUCAAAUAAAUCAAGAAUUAUGUGUGUUAAUAAGUAAAAAAAAAAAAAAAACAACUAUAAACUAUAACUAAAAAUAAAAGUGAAAAAAUCGAGAAACAAGUGUAAAUUAAGAUAUUUAAUUUUGAAAGAUGAAAUAUUUACGCGAUUAUAUUUACUAAAUUUAUUAAUUAAAACAAAUUUUUUAUUUAAUUAAACGAUAAUCAAAAUAGACAUACUCACUAAAUUUAUUGAAUAAAAUAAAAUGAAAAAUAAUAAUAUGUAAGGCUGCACAUUUUAGAAAUAUUAUUUAAAAAUAAAAAUUUUUAUUUUCAAGAAUAAAGUUCAUCUAUACAAAAAAUUAAAAAAAUUAUAAAUGAAUCAGAAAAACUUUCUCAAAAAUUAAAUGCAUAACUAAAAAAUAACUGUUAUUUCAAAGAGGAUCUCUAAAUAACAUAUAAAAAAAGAGAAGAGAUAUUAAUCUAAAUAUAAUUUUUUAAAAAAAAAAACAUAUAAAAGAAAAAAAAGAAGAAGCAAAUGUCAGGUGUUGUUAGGACUAGUAAGUCAAGCCAGUCCAAUUGCCGCAUUUUGUUAGGGCCCACGCCCACUACCCUUUUUUUUUUUUGUUGCAAGAUGUUUGUGAAAAAAAAUAAGAUGAUGCUCUUUUAUAGACCAGAUAUUUUUUUCUCUUACAAAAAAGUUGUGCAUGCAUGUUUUUUCAAUGCAAUUUUUUAUAUAAAAAAAUUUAAACUGUAAAUUAAAAAGCAAAUACAUACAUGUAAUCAAAUAAAUUGAUAACUAUGUGAAUUAAUAAUAAUAAAAAUAUAUUAAUGAUAACUAAAAAUAAAAUUAAAAAAAUCAAAUGUGUUAAUAAACGGAACAUUUACCUAGAUAUAUUUUUUGAAUUUAUUUAUUAAAAUUAAUCUUUUUAUUCAAUCUAAAAAUAUUAAAAAAAACACAUGUAUUAAAUUGAUUAAAUAAAAUAAAGAUAGAAAAAAUAUUAUGCAAGGUUGUUGUACAUGUUAUGUUAUCUGAAAAUAAAUAUUUUUAUUUUUUAAAUAAAGUUCUUUUAUACAAAAAGAUAAAAAAAAUUAUUGAUGAAUCAUAAUAAGUUUUUUAAAGAUUAAAUACAAACAACACCAUAAAAAACAAUAGCUAUCCAAAAAUAAAUAAAUAAACAAAAAAAAUCACAGAUGAGGAAUAUUAAUUGAAACAUAAAUUUAAAAAAUAUUUUAAAAAAGAUAUAUAAACAAUAUCAGUAAAAAAAAGCAAUAUUAGAAAAAAAAAACAUUGUUUUGUUGUUGUGGCUUAACUCGUUAAAUCCGUGACCCAGAGCAUGAACUCAACCGGGUUCAAUCUUGCUUUCCCUUUAAAUUCGUAUUCAACCUUUAACAGAAAAGAAAUUAAACAGGUGACCUAGACCAUGAGUUCAAACAGACUCUAUAUUGUUUUCUCUUAAAUUUAUAUUCAACCUUUAAAAACAAAUACAUGCAACACCAUCAAAAAACAAUUUAUAUUCAAAAAAGGUUAAAUAAACAAAACAAAUCACAGUUGAGUGAUAGUAAUUGAAACAUAAAUUGAAAAUGAUCUAAAAAAGGAUAUAUAUAUAUAUAUAUAUAUAUAUAUAUAUAUAUAUAUAUAAAGAUAUCAGUAAAAAAAAAAGCAACAUUAGAAAAAACAAUUGUCCGGUUAUUGUGGCUUAACUCAUUAAACUCGUAACUCAGUUCAUGAAUUCAACCUAGUUCAAUAUUGUUUUCCUUAAACCUUAGAAAAAAUUAAAUAUGUGACCCGGACCAUGAAUUCAACGAGGUUCAAUAAUUGUUUUCUUUUAAAUUUAUAUUCAACUUUAAAAAAAAUUCAAAAAUUAAAAAUGCACAACACCAUAAAAAAAUCAAUCUUUAUAAAAAAACCUCAACCGGGUUGAAUUGUUUUUUCUUAAAUUUAUACUCAACCUUUAAGAAAAACUUGUAAUCUGGAUUAUGCACUCAGCUAGUUCAAUAUUUUUCUCCAUUUGAAUUUAUAAUAAAUCUAAAAAAAAUAAAGUAAACAAUAUCCUCCACAGUAAAACAUGUCGGUUUAAUCCGGAUCAUAAACUUAACUAAGUUUAAUAGUAAUUUUUCUUAAAUUCAUAAUCUACCUUGAAAAAAAAAAACCUUGUAACCCCAUUGUGUACUACCUUGCACGGUGUUUUUCCCAUGAAAAAAAAAACAGAUUUGUUAACAUUAAGUUCUGAAAGUCGAUAUUUCAGCAUUCCCAGUUUCAUUUACUUGAAGUGGUUGAUAAGUCGAGCUACACACACACAAAAGAAGAAGUAAUGAUUACCUUUUCGAUCCAGAUGAAAUCUCAACUUCAUUGAGAAUAUCCAUCCAUCUUUGUACCUUCUCCUCGUUUUCCCUGAGACUUUUUCCAAUCUUAUCAAAGACAAUUGUGUAACUCUCUGUUUGAUCAUGUAUCUUUGAUUGUUUGACAUCACAAGAAACUGGAAACACAAUGUCCGAUCUCAUCUCAUCCAUGAAUCCGACAAUCUUGACAAGUUCUUCAAAGCACCAUGGUAAAGAAGCACAAUCUCUUGCAAAUAUAAUAAUUGACAGCCCUGAUUCUUCAAUGGCCUCAAAGAGUCUUGAUCUAAUUGCCAUUACUUUCUCUCGUUCCUUCCCGAAUGGGAAAAUUAAUCUCCGGGCUUGAUCUGCGGCUCUGAUGACAGGGAAAACAUUGGCCAUCCAUUGAUGGUACGACGAAGAAAAAGCUAAAGAAGCUUUAUACGAAGAAGCUGCUUCUUUGCUUGUAACAAUAAAAUGGGCAGAAGAUGGUCGUGGUGUAAUAUACAAAGAAGAUAACAAACAGACACCACAAUUCUUCACCUUUACUCCUGGUUGGAAAGAAUGAAAUGACAACUCAAUGUUGCUAAAGGAUUCAUGCUUCCAUUCUUUAAGCUCUUUAAGAUGAUCAAAAGAUAGAUAGAAUAGCCAAAUAUGAUCUGACAGAACUUGGAUAGAGUUACAACUAAUACACAUCGGAGAAGGAUAAUUCUCUCUUCCAUUGGCUUUGAAAUGACAAAAAAGAGAAGGACUUUCACCAUUUGCACUGAAUGCAACACACGCAGCAAACCCCAUGCUCCAACUAGGCACUUGCACACUAAUUGAAGAUCCUUUACUUUGAUGGUUAAACCAGCCUGGAAUUUUAUUUCCUGGAACAGCGACACCAAAUCCAGGUCUUGGAUUAGACAAACCCUGUACCAUGAAAAACAAAAAUGUUAGAUAGAUAGAGGGAGAGGGAGAGAGAUACAAAAAGGUUGGGGUAUGAUUAAGAGAAGACCUGGAGGUAUCUUUCAAGCAUCGUCAACCCCAUGCUGUCUUGGCCAUUAUGAUUGUACAAUUCCCAGCAAUUAAGACAUAUGAACUCUGAGAUUUUGGAACUCCUUAGCUUUAUCAGAUCUGGAAUUGUUUUUAGGCUUAUACAACCAUUCAAAUAUACCGUUUGAACUUUAGACGGAACUUGAGGCAAUGAUUCAAGCAUCGUGCAAUCCUCUAAGACAAGCGUUUCCAGUUCAUAAAGCAGAUUUAUGCUCCUAGGCAGGCUAACAAAGUUAUUCCGGCUCAGAUCUAAAGACGUCAAUGAAGAUAAGUAGCCAAUAUCUUCAGGAAGUGCCCCUUCUCUUAGAUUGCAAGCGCGUAAACACAGUACUUCUAAAGAACACAGACCAGACAAAGAAGGCAGCACAGCUAGUCUUUUGAAUCCAUCCAAAGAUAAUACUUUAAGAUUCUUUAAAAGAAAAAGGGAUGCUGGCAGUUGUCUUAUUGAAGUUCCACUUACAUCAAACACCUCCAAACUUUUAACUUUCCCCAAAUUCUCUGGUAUAUUUUGAAGUUCAGAGCAGCCAGACAGAUCAAGUUUUUUAAGGGAUUUCAAACAAGGUAUGCUACUCGGAAUGCUUUCAAGGUUCUUGCAGUUGCUCAUGCUCAAUACUUCUAAGCCAAUCAAAUGACGAAUUGAUGAAGAUAGUUUUGUAAUACCAGUCUCAUCCAAAUGAAGCACCAUCAAUUUGUUCAUGUUUCCUACUAUAUCUGGAAACUUCUCAAGUUUUGAGCAUCCAUCAAGAAUGCAAACUUUAAGUGAUUCCAUUUCAAGGUUGCUAGGGAGAAUCCUAAUACUUACACAAUCCAUAAGAUUCACAUAUUGAAGCUUCUUGUGACGUGCAAGUGAUGGAUGGACCUCAAACAAACUUGUACAACCUUCAAGAAUUAGGUUCUCGAGAUUCGGAAUUCCUGUAAAAUCUGGAGUCUUGAUCAGGUCUAGUGAGUUGCUGAGAUUGAUGAUUUUCAAAUUAACUGCACUCUGCAAUCAGGCAGGGGAGAAGAAUCAUGGAUGCUACUAUCAUAAAUAUAUAGGAAAACAAUAAAAAGAAAUACAAAGGCCCUUAAAUUAGGUGAUCUCACCUUACACCCAUACCAUAAUUGCUCAAUGCUACUGUUAGCCAUGUGAAGUUCAACUAGCUCAUCCACCUGUAAACCAGCUGGCAAUGAUUUUGAAGGGUAAGAAUGCCAUUCAAGAAAUCGUAGCUUAUUGGAAAGAUCUUCAAGUCCUUCAGAAAGCUGCACGUUGUUGAUUUUGAGCAAUCUUAGUUUGGUCAUUUUAGAGAAGGCUUUCAUGUUCCAUUGUGCCUCUUUUAUUCCAGGCAUGUCCAGGAAAAUGGCUUCUAUUUUUUCUUUUCCCUAUCAACCAAAAGGGGCAAACAAGUAAAAAACAAACACAAAGUAGAGAUGGAGCGUAAAUUAAAAUAAACUUCAUGAAAUCUUAUGGAUAAUGUUCUCUAUUAGCUACUCACUGUGUUGUCCAUCAGUGCAAGGCAGACAUCCUCGUAUGUCCACAAUCUACUGCGCCUUCCAGGCUCUUCAGGGGAUUCACAACGAACAAUUUCCUUACCCAUUAUCUGUAAUAAAUUAUGCAUCCAGACUUGAUCCCGAGAGACACUUAUGAGAGAUCUCUCAAUAAGAACUGGUAUUCCAAUACCUGCAUGGAAUCCACGGCUUUCAAGUAUCCUUGUUAUUCGAUCAAUUUUAAACCCCAUCAAGAAACAUGCAAUGUCUAAAAAUAUUUUCUUAUCUGAUUCAUGGAGACCAUCAAAACUAAUGCGAAGCACAUCAAUAAUUUUGCCGUCAGGAAUCUCAUUCAUUCUAUUAAUGGCACCUCUCCAUUCAGGGAUACUUCUUGCAUACAAAAACGAACCUAUAACUUCAAUAGCUAGUGGAAGGCCAUUAGCAUAACCCACAACUUGCUUUGAUAGUUCCACGAAAUCUUCGGCAGGCUGGUCAUUUUUGAAAGCUUUUUGGCUAAAUAACAUAAGAGCAUCAUCAUCAUUCAAUUUUUCAGCCUCAUAAAUUUUAGUAUCAUCAUUUCCAGUUAACACAUUUGUAUCUCUGCUUGUUAUGAUAAUUCUGCUCCCUGGACCAAAC